RNAcentral lists this ribosomal RNA (468 nucleotides) under uncultured bacterium. RNAcentral describes it as "partial 16S ribosomal RNA". It matches the Rfam family "Bacterial small subunit ribosomal RNA", at positions 28 to 507 of the family's 1533-position model. The record is from RNAcentral.
GACGAACGCUGGCGGCGUGCUUAACACAUGCAAGUCGAACGGAAAGGCCCUGCUUUUGUGGGGUUCUCGAGUGGCGAACGGGUGAGUAACACGUGAGUAACCUGCCCUUGACUUUGGGAUAACUUCAGGAAACUGGGGCUAAUACCGGAUAGGAGCUCCUGCUGCAUGGUGGGGGUUGGAAAGUUUCGGCGGUUGGGGAUGGACUCGCGGCUUAUCAGCUUGUUGGUGGGGUAGUGGGUUACCAAGCCUUUGACGGGUAGCCGGCCUGAGAGGGUGACCGGCGACCCUGGGACUGAGAUACGGCCCAGAUGGGUACGGGAGGAAGCAGUGGGGAAUAUUGCACAAUGGGCGGAGGCCUGAUGCAGAAACCCCGCGUGCGGGAUGACGGCUUUCGGGGUAUAAAAAGAUUUCGACUGUAACGACCCGUGAGUGACGGUAACGGAUAAAGAAGCAACGGCUAACUACGUG